GAUGAACGCUGGCGGCGUGCCUAAUACAUGCGAGUCGAGCGAACAGACGAGGAGCUUGCUCCUCUGACGUUAGCGGCGGACGGGUGAGUAGCACGUGGAUAACCUACCUAUAAGACUGGGAUAACUUCGGGAAACCGGAGCUAAUACCGGAUAAUAUAUUGAACCGCAUGGUUCAAUAGUGAAAGACGGUUUUGCUGUCACUUAUAGAUGGAUCCGCGCCGCAUUAGCUAGUUGGUAAGGUAACGGCUUACCAAGGCAACGAUGCGUAGCCGACCUGAGAGGGUGAUCGGCCACACUGGAACUGAGACACGGUCCAGACUCCUACGGGAGGCAGCAGUAGGGAAUCUUCCGCAAUGGGCGAAAGCCUGACGGAGCAACGCCGCGUGAGUGAUGAAGGUCUUCGGAUCGUAAAACUCUGUUAUUAGGGAAGAACAAAUGUGUAAGUAACUAUGCACGUCUUGACGGUACCUAAUCAGAAAGCCACGGCUAACUACGUG
RNAcentral lists this ribosomal RNA (497 nucleotides) under uncultured bacterium. Its description in RNAcentral is "partial 16S ribosomal RNA". It matches the Rfam family "Bacterial small subunit ribosomal RNA", at positions 28 to 507 of the family's 1533-position model. The record is from RNAcentral.